RNAcentral lists this long non-coding RNA (365 nucleotides) under Gallus gallus (chicken). RNAcentral describes it as "long non-coding RNA NONGGAT008206". The record is from RNAcentral. Lineage: Eukaryota; Metazoa; Chordata; Aves; Galliformes; Phasianidae.
AUCUCUGCUGCUUGUCUGGAGCCUUUCUUUUGGUCCCUGUGACCUCCUGGCAAUGUCGCCUUAGGCAGUGAUGCUGAGCCCAUGAUCCCAUGAUGAUGCUCUCGCCUUCACCACGGGCCAGGUGACCUCAUCAACACUGCUGUCCCAAGGACAGACUGCCAGAAGAUGCUGCAGGCACUGGAGGAUGCAUCCCUAGAGGAGCAGGAGCCCUCCAGGUCCAUGCUCAGGGCUCCAGGCUGCAGGGAGGCAACCUGGCCCUAAGUCUCCCAGGCACCGUCCCAGCAAAGCACACAGACAUCAUGGAUGGGAUGCAAUGGAGAAGUUGAGCAGAACUAGAGGGACACCCAGCUGUGCUACUUUCUAGG